Macaca mulatta (Rhesus monkey) is the source of this 2515-nucleotide long non-coding RNA. The record is from Ensembl. NCBI's taxonomy places the organism in Eukaryota, Metazoa, Chordata, Mammalia, Primates, Cercopithecidae.
UUUGAAUGUUCCUAGCAUGGUUUCAGAUUCAAAUACAUUUUUAACAUUAUCAUAAUAUAUUCAAAAGAUUCUUGAUCCAUGUCAAAAUACAUUGAUUUAAAUUUGAGUUUAAAUACUGGAUUCACCCCUACUUCAGCUACUCCUGACCUUUCUCACCCAUGUUAUUUUUUAGAAAAGUUUGUUUUUUUUUUUUUUUUUUUUUUUAGCGGGCAAAUUUGCCCCAUCUGGAAAUAUGGAAGACAAUAUCUGAAGAUAGUUUUCAUUGUCACAGUCUGAAGGAUGGUGCUAUCAGCAUCUAGUGGACAGAGGACAGGGAUGCUGCAAAACAUCCUAUGAUGUGUGUAUAUCUCUACACAACAAAGCAUUAUCCAACCCCAAAGUUUCUAAAGUCCCAAGGUUGAGAAAACCAGCUUUUGGAAAAAUAAUCAUCUUUUUUCUCCCUUAAUUCACGUAUUAAAUAAUUCUAGGCCAUUUUACAGAAAGGAGAUACUAUAAUAACUACUUUUUGGAUCUGAAAAUACAGCCAUGCUCUGAAUAACAAUGUUUUGGUCAUUGAUGUACCACAUAUAUGAAGGUGGUCCGGAACAUGAAGCAUCAGAUUGAAUGAAACCUUCCAAGGCCUUUCAGAAGUGUCUCGAAGUCUCCAACAACUGCAUCCAGCUACUCAUCAUUAUCAAGUUCCAAGAAAUGAGGGAUGAAAAUAAAACAUAUAGUGAAGAGCAGUCUUAUGUGCACAGUCUUUUGAAUGUUACCCAGCCAUAUAGGAAGAGACCAUGGGCCUGGAAUGCUUCCUCAACAAGAGAUAAAGAGCCUGCACAUGUGUGUCAAUGGUCCUUAGACACACCCUCAGCUUCAGCAUUUCAGAUUCCAUGCAGUGUGAGUCAAGGUCUUUGUACUGUGGUUUUAGAGGUGUGCACGUAGGGUAGUUGCUCUGAGUUGUGGGGGGCACCAACCAUGGGAGAUCUAUGCAUGCAACAGGGAUUUGUCUCCCUCUGUUUUGUGUACAUGAGUAAAAGCACUCUUCCAUCCCGUGAUUGACUGUGUUGUGUUCACCGUGGUGACUCUAAUAUCAAGAUGAAUUGGACAGAAGUAUUUGGACUUCUGGUCCUGGUGGUUGACAUAAAACUUUGCAUGAAGAACACUGGCCUCUAACUAAAGGUAUGUCAGUCAUAUUCAAAGAAAUAUAGCAAAAAUAAAUCUGCAUCUCAAGUAGAAUAAUCAUCUCAGGUUAAAUCGAGUUGUUUUUAAUAUUAUCAUACGGGUUAACUAACCCAAGUUUAACAUAUGAUGAGUGUGAUUUGCCAAAAAGAAAAAAAAAAUAUAUAUAUAUAUAGUGCAAGUAAGUACAGGGAAUUGAAGGUCAAUAGAAAAAUCUUCACAGCCAUUAUGUCAAUCUCUUGCAACAUUCCAGAGCUGAGCUCUCCAAAAGAAAUACAGUAUGAGACAUAAAUGUGGGUCAUAUAUGUAAUUUUAAGUUUUGUAGUAAAAAAGUAAAACAGAAAAUUAUUUCAGAAUGUUAAAUAUAUUAAACUUUAUUUUUCGUUCAUAUCAUAUAUUUUAUUCUACUAUAUAGAUUUGCUUAACGAAAUAAUAUUUAUUCUUCAUUUUGCUAUAUUUGUUUUCUAAUAUUGAGAUCUGUGACACUUAUAUAGCCAGUAUUGUUAUAAUUAUUUAAUUUCCACAACAUAAAAAUCUGAACAUAGACGGUGAAGUUGUUUUCUUUAGGGUGCAGAAUCUAAAAGAGCUAAAAUAUUUAAUGCUACAUAAAUGGUAAUGAUCAUAAUAUAAGAUCUGAAAUCUAGAUGCCAUUCCCAUAACAUCCAGACCUCACUUAAUUCAGUACAGAUGCUUUAAAGGCAAGUGGAAAGAUACGUUUUCAAUUGCAAAUUUCCUUAGUUAUUUCAGUUUUAUUUUCUAUUUUGUAAGAAGCCUGAACUUUAUUUUAGGAGUCCAUUGCCAUGUCAAAGCCUCAGCUUAUCACACGAUGUGAGAACUAAGGGAAAUCAACUAGGAAAACAUUCAUUGGCAGAGAAAGCUGACUGAUUAGAACGACAGAUGGGAAAAGCAAAACUUAAAUCCAGGGAUUUCUGGCCAGCUAACAACCUAGGAGAUAUUUCAGAAAGACCGGAACAAGUUGUUGACUUGGAAUCAGUGAAUAUGUAACAUCAUUCCAACAGAAUCUUGAUUUGAGUAAAUAAUUUAAAAGCUAAGCACAUAAUUUACACAGUGAAUAUGCCACAGAAAGAUGGCUGGGAAUUUGCAAUAUAUAUACUCAUAGCACUUGAUGCUGGUUAUGCUUAUAUAUGCAUAGAUUACUGUAUUGAUAUAAAUGACUGAGAUUGACCACUGUUACUAAAAGUUCUCAUUUUUCCUUAUUUAAACUAUGUUAAUAGGUACAGAACAGAGUAAUCAGUCACAUUUAUAUCUACUUGUUUUACUGAUGAAACUAAGAUGCAAACCAAUACAACUGAAAAGAUAUUCAUUCAAAGUAUUGCUAGUAUUGCGAUAUACAUAG